CUGUCAUGUUGAUUUACCUCCUUUUUUCUCUUUCCUCUAAAACAUGAGGGAAAAAGCAAUGAAAAACUUCUUGACCCCCGUGCAUUUAAACUCCAGGGUGGAGACCUUUAAGGGCCUCUUGGACGUCUCGGGCCACCAACUUCAGCUCAGCCUGGGACUGGGAGACGCAAGAGGGCAUUGAUCACCUGCUAGGUAUUCUACAAACCUUGGGACAAAUAAAAUAUGCAGGACUGGGCUCCGUUGAAAUAAAGGCACAUCGCUGAGACCUCCAGUUCCCCCUGAGGCAGGAGCUGUCCAGGUUGUUAGGGAGCUAAACCCAGAACAAAGGUGCAGUUACACCUCAGCCCAGUUAGUUACCUGGGUAGCAGCUGUGGUACAGGCUCUGUAAAAUGAUAGAUGGCGGAGGGGGAGGAGCUGGAGCUGGGUUCCCGGUUUGUGCACAGCAAGUACAGUAUGUCUGGAAAGUUUGUCUGGCUGUGGGACACUGCUCAGUGGCAGGCCAGGCCUGGAGUCCAGAUCCAGAAACCCCGACCCAUGUGCUGGCCUUGGUAGCAGUUUUCCAGCUCUCUCUACCUGCCAGGCACACCAGCAAGGCAGGACCCCCGCCCUGAGUCCUAGGCCUGCAGCGGGAUAACCUGGAGAAACCCAGUUUUUACACAGGUGCUCAUGGAGGGAAGGUGUGAUCAGUUUUCAGGACAAUGGUGAAAUCUAGAACACUUGGAGUACUCACACCUCUCAAAUUCCGGUGUCCACUUGGAAGGGGAAGCCCUCUCUAAAGCCUUGGCACCUUUGGGGACAGCUACAUAUGUUGGGGGCUUUACUUCCCUCUCUCCUCAUCCUAACCAGUGUGGGGAGAUAGCAAAUCCUCCUCUACCUCUGGGGACACAGCAAGCUGGGAAUGGAAAAGAGGGAGAGGAAGAAAACACACGAACAACUUUGGUGCCUACUCCUCCCUUUCAUCCGACCCCUGUUUGGAAACGAAUGAAGCAACACCCACCAGUGGACUUCCAGACCUGCCUGUCCCCUCUGCUCCAUCUGCCCCCAGGGGAUGAGACCCCCGUGUCCCCACUCCCGGGGCACCAGCAGCACCAGUACCAAUGGGAAGAAUCAAACAACAGCAAACCACUGACUAUAAUUCCUCCAGCCUAAAUGUCUCCCACUGCACAUUUCCCAACGCAGUAAGCGACACCUCGCCCUGGAAAAAGCUCGGCACAAAGCGGGGUGAAAGUUGAAGAGGGAAUGAGCUUGUAAUAGUGCCUCGCCAGACCUCACACAUGCUGAAGGAUAUUUACAGCAAACGUGCCAAAGUAAACUACCCCGCCUACCCACCACCAUGCCCCCUCCUCGCCUCUUUUUUUUUUUUAAACUUCAGAUAAAUACCUUUCGGUC
Molecule: non-coding RNA, 1389 nt
Organism: Heterocephalus glaber (naked mole-rat)
Lineage: Eukaryota; Metazoa; Chordata; Mammalia; Rodentia; Bathyergidae
Source: RefSeq, a predicted model, not a curated record